GACGAACGCUGGCGGCGUGCCUAAUACAUGCAAGUAGAACGCUGAAGAGAGGAGCUUGCUCUUCUUGGAAGAGUUGCGAACGGGUGAGUAACGCGUAGGUAACCUGCCUUGUAGCGGGGGAUAACUAUUGGAAACGAUAGCUAAUACCGCAUAACAAUGGGUGACCCAUGUCAUUCAUUUGAAAGGGGCAACUGCUCCACUACAAGAUGGACCUGCGUUGUAUUAGCUAGUAGGUGAGGUAACGGCUCACCUAGGCGACGAUACAUAGCCGACCUGAGAGGGUGAUCGGCCACACUGGGACUGAGACACGGCCCAGACUCCUACGGGAGGCAGCAGUAGGGAAUCUUCGGCAAUGGGGGCAACCCUGACCGAGCAACGCCGCGUGAGCGAAGAAGGUUUUCGGAUCGUAAAGCUCUGUUGUAAGUCAAGAACGAGUGUGAGAGUGGAAAGUUCACACUGUGACGGUAGCUUACCAGAAAGGGACGGCUAACUACGUGCCAGCAGCCGCGGUAAUACGUAGGUCCCGAGCGUUGUCCGGAUUUAUUGGGCGUAAAGCGAGCGCAGGCGGUUUGAUAAGUCUGAAGUUAAAGGCUGUGGCUCAACCAUAGUUCGCUUUGGAAACUGUCAAACUUGAGUGCAGAAGGGGAGAGUGGAAUUCCAUGUGUAGCGGUGAAAUGCGUAGAUAUAUGGAGGAACACCGGUGGCGAAAGCGGCUCUCUGGUCUGUAACUGACGCUGAGGCUCGAAAGCGUGGGGAGCGAACAGG
Molecule: ribosomal RNA, 765 nt
Filed under: uncultured Streptococcus sp.
Lineage: Bacteria; Bacillati; Bacillota; Bacilli; Lactobacillales; Streptococcaceae
Description: bacterial SSU rRNA
Rfam family: Bacterial small subunit ribosomal RNA
Source: RNAcentral